UGGUGGAGUGAUUUGUCUGGUUAAUUCCGAUAACGAACGAGACCUCCGCCUGCUAAAUAGUCACGCGGUGCCCUGGGCACCCGCGGGUUCUUGACUUCUUAGAGGGACUAUGAGCGGUAAGCUCGUGGAAGUUGGAGGCAAUAACA
Molecule: ribosomal RNA, 146 nt
Filed under: uncultured eukaryote
Lineage: Eukaryota
Description: partial 18S ribosomal RNA
Rfam family: Eukaryotic small subunit ribosomal RNA
Source: RNAcentral